ACGAACGCUGGCGGCGUGCUUAACACAUGCAAGUCGAACGGAAAGGCCCUGCUUUUGUGGGGUGCUCGAGUGGCGAACGGGUGAGUAACACGUGAGUAACCUGCCCUUGACUUUGGAAUAACUUCAGGAAACUGGGGCUAAUACCGGAUAGGAGCUCCUGCUGCAUGGUGGGGGUUGGAAAGUUUCGGCGGUUGGGGAUGGACUCGCGGCUUAUCAGCUUGUUGGUGGGGUAGUGGCUUACCAAGGCUUUGACGGGUAGCCGGCCUGAGAGGGUGACCGGCCACAUUGGGACUGAGAUACGGCCCAGACUCCUACGGGAGGCAGCAGUGGGGAAUAUUGCACAAUGGGCGGAAGCCUGAUGCAGCAACGCCGCGUGCGGGAUGACGGCCUUCGGGUUGUAAACCGCUUUCGCCUGUGACGAAGCGUGAGUGACGGUAAUGGGUAAAGAAGCACCGGCUAACUACGUG
RNAcentral lists this ribosomal RNA (467 nucleotides) under uncultured bacterium. Its description in RNAcentral is "partial 16S ribosomal RNA". It matches the Rfam family "Bacterial small subunit ribosomal RNA", at positions 29 to 507 of the family's 1533-position model. The record is from RNAcentral.